Molecule: long non-coding RNA, 510 nt
Filed under: Parus major (Great Tit)
Lineage: Eukaryota; Metazoa; Chordata; Aves; Passeriformes; Paridae
Description: lncRNA (ENSPMJG00000013579.1)
Source: RNAcentral
ACCGCCGGGGGCGGGGCCUGCGCCCAUCGCGAGAUCGGGACGGGGCCGCCCCCCGCCCCGCCCCGCCCGGGGCUGAGGGAGACCGCCUCCGCAGGGUGUCCUACUGUUUCCCUUGCUUUUCCCCGGCUUUUCCCCUUUGUCUUCUCUUCUUCCUGAUUAAACAAAUCACCGGGCCUGCAGGUGCCUCAGUAGUGUGCAGAAAAUUGUGCUGUGAAAGGCCAGUGUCCACAAAGGAGACAGAGGAGCCCUGCAAGAAUCUGUGUCACCUUGCCUUGCCUUGCACUCAGGAAAGGGAUCUGUAAUGUCACGGGAGGUUCAAUGUCUGCACCACAAGCACAAUUACAUAAUGAUGCAUCACCCACAGUAUCUAUUGGUGUGCAUUUGUCAACAAGGACAAGAGGCAUAUGCUUAGAGGGAUCAAUGAUCCUGUUAACACAUUGCAUCAGAGGGAUGAGCAGACACCCCCAUGGAAAUGGAUCCCAGGAGCAGCUCUGUUUGGAAACCUCCUGA